AGGGCUCGCAGGCGGUUUCUUAAGUCUGAUGUGAAAGCCCCCGGCUCACCCGGGGAGGGUCAUUGGAAACUGGGGAACUUUGAGUGCAGAAGAGGAGAGUGGAAUUCCCCGUGUAGCGGUGAAAUGCGUAAAGAUGUGGAGGAACACCAGUGGCGAAGGCGACUCUCUGGUCUGUAACUGACGCUGAGGAGCGAAAAGCGUGGGGAGCGAACAGGAUUAGAUACCCUGGUAGUCCACGCCGUAACGAUGAGUGCUAAGUGUUAGGGGGUUUCCGCCCCUUAGUGCUGCAGCUAACGCAUUAAGCACUCCGCCUGGGGAGUACGGUCGCAAGACUGAAACUCAAAGGAAUUGACGGGGGCCCGCACAAGCGGUGGAGCAUGUGGUUUAAUUUGAAGCAACGCGAAGAACCUUACCAGGUCUUGACAUCCUCUGACAAUCCUAGAGAUAGGACGUCCCCUUCGGGGGCAGAGUGACAGGUGGUGCAUGGUUGUCGUCAGCUCGUGUCGUGAGAUGUUGGGUUAAGUCCCGCAACGAGCGCAACCCUUGAUCUUAGUUGCCAGCAUUCAGUUGGGCACUCUAAGGUGACUGCCGGUGACAAACCGGAGGAAGGUGGGGAUGACGUCAAAUCAUCAUGCCCCUUAUGACCUGGGCUACACACGUGCUACAAUGGGCAGAACAAAGGGCAGCGAAACCGCGAGGUUAAGCCAAUCCCACAAAUCUGUUUUCAGUUCGGAUCGCAGUCUGCAACUCGACUGCGUGAAGCUGGAAUCGCUAGUAAUCGCGGAUCAGCAUGCCGCGGUGAAUACGUUCCCGGGCCUUGUACACACCGCCCGUCACACCACGAGAGUUUGUAAC
RNAcentral lists this ribosomal RNA (855 nucleotides) under Bacillus amyloliquefaciens. RNAcentral's name for it is "bacterial SSU rRNA". It matches the Rfam family "Bacterial small subunit ribosomal RNA", at positions 564 to 1418 of the family's 1533-position model. The record is from RNAcentral. Lineage: Bacteria; Bacillati; Bacillota; Bacilli; Caryophanales; Bacillaceae.